This 459-nucleotide ribosomal RNA is filed under the name uncultured bacterium. RNAcentral describes it as "bacterial SSU rRNA". It matches the Rfam family "Bacterial small subunit ribosomal RNA", at positions 34 to 518 of the family's 1533-position model. The record is from RNAcentral.
CGCUGGCGGCGUGCUUAACACAUGCAAGUCGAACGGGAGUAUUGAAGAAGCUUGCUUAGAGAUACUUAGUGGCGGACGGGUGAGUAACGCGUGAGGAGCUGUCCUAUGCAGGGGGACAACAGCUGGAAACGGCUGCUAAUACCCCAUAAGCCGAGAGGUAAAAGGAUCAAUCCGGCAGAGGAGGUACUCGCGUCCUAUCAGCUAGUAGGUGAGGUAACGGCUCACCUAGGCGAAGACGGGUAGCCGGCCUGAGAGGGCGAACGGCCACACUGGAACUGAGAUACGGUCCAGACUCCUACGGGAGGCAGCAGUGGGGAAUAUUGGGCAAUGGGGGAAACCCUGACCCAGCGACGCCGCGUGGGUGAAGAAAUCCUUCGGGAUGUAAAGCCCUGUUGUAUGGGAAGAGCGGAAGACGGUACCAUACGAGGAAGCCCCGGCAAACUACGUGCCAGCCGCAGC